Molecule: ribosomal RNA, 253 nt
Filed under: uncultured bacterium
Lineage: Bacteria
Description: partial 16S ribosomal RNA
Rfam family: Bacterial small subunit ribosomal RNA
Source: RNAcentral
UACGUAGGGUGCGAGCGUUGUCCGGAAUUAUUGGGCGUAAAGGGCUCGUAGGCGGUUUGUCGCGUCGGGAGUGAAAAGCUGGGGCUUAACCCCAGUCCUGCUUCCGAUACGGGUGGACUAGAGGUAGGUAGGGGAGAUCGGAAUUCCUGGUGUAGCGGUGAAAUGCGCAGAUAUCAGGAGGAACACCGGUGGCGAAGGCGGAUCUCUGGGCCUUACCUGACGCUGAGGAGCGAAAGCAUGGGGAGCAAACAGG